GUUUGAUCAUGGCUCAGAAUGAACGCUGGCGGCAUGCCUAACACAUGCAAGUCGAACGAAGGCUUCGGCCUUAGUGGCGCACGGGUGCGUAACGCGUGGGAAUCUGCCCUUGGGUUCGGAAUAACUCAGAGAAAUUUGAGCUAAUACCGGAUGAUGCCGAAAGACCAAAGAUUUAUCGCCCGAGGAUGAGCCCGCGUAGGAUUAGCUAGUUGGUGAGGUAAAGGCUCACCAAGGCGACGAUCCUUAGCUGGUCUGAGAGGAUGAUCAGCCACACUGGGACUGAGACACGGCCCAGACUCCUACGGGAGGCAGCAGUGGGGAAUAUUGGACAAUGGGCGAAAGCCUGAUCCAGCAAUGCCGCGUGAGUGAUGAAGGCCUUAGGGUUGUAAAGCUCUUUUACCCGGGAUGAUAAUGACAGUACCGGGAGAAUAAGCUCCGGCUAACUCCGUGCCAGCAGCCGCGGUAAUACGGAGGGAACUAGCGUUAUUCCGAAUUACUGGGCGUUAAGCGCACGUAGCNGCUUUGUAAGUCAGAGGUGAAAGCCUGGAACUCAACUCCAGAACUGCCUUUGAGACUGCAUCGCUUGAAUCCAGGAGAGGUGAGUGGAAUUCCCA
RNAcentral lists this ribosomal RNA (614 nucleotides) under uncultured bacterium. RNAcentral describes it as "bacterial SSU rRNA". It matches the Rfam family "Bacterial small subunit ribosomal RNA", at positions 11 to 672 of the family's 1533-position model. The record is from RNAcentral.